RNAcentral lists this transfer RNA (82 nucleotides) under Dreissena polymorpha. It matches the Rfam family "tRNA". Rfam says of the family: Transfer RNA (tRNA) molecules are approximately 80 nucleotides in length. Their secondary structure includes four short double-helical elements and three loops (D, anti-codon, and T loops). Further hydrogen bonds mediate the characteristic L-shaped molecular structure. tRNAs have two regions of fundamental functional importance: the anti-codon, which is responsible for specific mRNA codon recognition, and the 3' end, to which the tRNAs corresponding amino acid is attached (by aminoacyl-tRNA synthetases). tRNAs cope with the degeneracy of the genetic code in two manners: having more than one tRNA (with a specific anti-codon) for a particular amino acid; and 'wobble' base-pairing, i.e. permitting non-standard base-pairing at the 3rd anti-codon position. The record is from Rfam by way of RNAcentral. Lineage: Eukaryota; Metazoa; Mollusca; Bivalvia; Myida; Dreissenidae.
GUUGUUGUGGCCGAGUGGUUAAGGCGAUGAACUAGAAAUCUUUUGGGAUCUUCCCGCGCAGGUUCGAAUCCUGCAGACAUCG